RNAcentral lists this ribosomal RNA (632 nucleotides) under uncultured Thermoprotei archaeon. RNAcentral's name for it is "bacterial SSU rRNA". It matches the Rfam family "Archaeal small subunit ribosomal RNA", at positions 717 to 1349 of the family's 1478-position model. Lineage: Archaea; Thermoproteati; Thermoproteota; Thermoprotei. The record is from RNAcentral.
GAGCGAACCGGAUUAGAUACCCGGGUAGUCCCGGCUGUAAACGAUGCGGGCUAGGUGUUGGGUGGGCUUUGAGCCCACCCAGUGCCGCAGGGAAGCCGUUAAGCCCGCCGCCUGGGGAGUACGGCCGCAAGGCUGAAACUUAAAGGAAUUGGCGGGGGAGCACCACAAGGGGUGGAGCCUGCGGUUUAAUUGGAGUCAACGCCGGGAAUCUUACCGAGGGCGACAGCAGGAUGAAGGCCAGGCUAACGACCUUGCCAGACACGCUGAGAGGAGGUGCAUGGCCGUCGCCAGCUCGUGCCGUGAGGCGUCCGGUUAAGUCCGGCAACGAGCGAGAUCCCCACCCCCAGUUGCGAUCCCGAUCCCUGGAUCGGGAGCACACUGGGGGGACUGCCGCCGAUAAGGCGGAGGAAGGAGGGGGCCACGGCAGGUCAGCAUGCCCCGAAUCCCUCGGGCUACACGCGGGCUACAAUGGUGGGGACAGCGGGUGCCGACCCCCGAAAGGGGAAGGCAAUCCCUGAAACCCCGCCGUGGUUGGGAUCGAGGGCUGUAACUCGCCCUCGUGAACGUGAAUCCCUAGUAACCGCGCGUCAACAUCGCGCGGUGAAUACGUCCCUGCUCCUUGCACACACCGC